RNAcentral lists this non-coding RNA (85 nucleotides) under Actinomyces sp. RNAcentral describes it as "ZTP sequence". It matches the Rfam family "ZMP/ZTP riboswitch aptamer (pfl RNA motif)". From Rfam's summary of the family: Previously known as pfl RNA. ZMP is also known as AICAR. Lineage: Bacteria; Bacillati; Actinomycetota; Actinomycetes; Actinomycetales; Actinomycetaceae. RNAcentral also lists the same sequence under 1 other name. The record is from RNAcentral.
UGAAUCUGUCGCAACUGGCGAACAGGUGGGAUGACCACCGGGGAGCGAAAUAGGGUUGUCGCGGUCGCCCGCCUGGGCCACGCAA